Molecule: long non-coding RNA, 291 nt
Filed under: Physcomitrium patens
Lineage: Eukaryota; Viridiplantae; Streptophyta; Bryopsida; Funariales; Funariaceae
Description: long non-coding RNA (PPAT_LNC014552)
Source: RNAcentral
AAUACAAAACUUUGUGUAGAAUGGACGCCUCCAAUCCCACAAUACGAUUAUGCACCACACUCGAACCAUCUGAUGGGUCAUAAUGUCGUACAAAUUCUUCUACAAUAGAUGGAUCUAAUGGUGGUAAAACUCUUGAAUAUCGCAAGAAACCAUAAACGGUCGCCUCCUUGAAAUCUUUCUCGAAUUUCCUCUGCCACAACAAGUCAAUCUGGCAAUUCUCCAUAUUUGUGAACGUUACCAGCUCCAAUUCUGGUAACUCAUUCCUAAACCUCACAUUCCUUGACCUAUCAU